GACAGAGGUGCCGAGCGUUAGGCGGAAUCACUGGGCUUAAAGCGUGUGUAGGCGGAUGCCUAAGUACCUUGUGAAAUCCCACGGCUUAACCGUGGAACUGCUCGGUACACUGGGUAUCUUGAGCCACUUAGGGGCGACCGGAACAAACGGUGGAGCGGUGAAAUGCGUAGAUAUCGUUUGGAACGCCAAUGGUGAAAACAGGUCGCUGGGAGUGUGCUGACGCUGAGACACGAAAGCCAGGGGAGCGAACGGG
This 253-nucleotide ribosomal RNA is filed under the name uncultured bacterium. RNAcentral's name for it is "partial 16S ribosomal RNA". It matches the Rfam family "Bacterial small subunit ribosomal RNA", at positions 524 to 776 of the family's 1533-position model. The record is from RNAcentral.